AAUAACUGCAAGUGAACUCUAAUUAAGACUUAUAAAAAAGAGUACAUAAAAGAAAGUUUGGCCACUGUUCACUGUUUCUGGACUUUCAUGCUAGUUUCAAAUACAUGAUAGAUUUCUAGAUAAGUUCAACAAAAUACACCUUCUACAGUUAAUGAAGAAAUAUUCUUUUCUCCUUUCUGUGUCAUGGUCAGGAAUUUCUGUAUGAAAAAAUAUCUGAGGAACUCGUGAGGUUUAAUAAUUAUUAUUUUUGGG
Long non-coding RNA from Limulus polyphemus (Atlantic horseshoe crab), 252 nucleotides. RefSeq lists it as uncharacterized. The record is from RefSeq and is a predicted model, not a curated record. The transcript has 3 exons. Lineage: Eukaryota; Metazoa; Arthropoda; Merostomata; Xiphosura; Limulidae.